Molecule: unclassified non-coding RNA, 208 nt
Filed under: Melitaea cinxia (Glanville fritillary)
Lineage: Eukaryota; Metazoa; Arthropoda; Insecta; Lepidoptera; Nymphalidae
Description: misc RNA ENSMCXG00005008683.1
Source: RNAcentral
UGUCUGGAUUAAACAUACACACCAGUAGGUAUUUGUAACUAUAACUUUAUUUUUUGUUUACAAUUUAUUUCAAUAAGUUUAGUUCCUCGAUGACGCCUAGAUGGCGUUGGUAGAUUUAUUUAAAUUUCUGAAUCACGCAAGCACUACAUCAACAUGUUAAUAUGUAAUCGCUUUCAAGUAAACGAUAAAAUGUGUUAUAAGAAAAAAA